This is a long non-coding RNA of Mauremys reevesii (Reeves's turtle), 259 nucleotides long. RefSeq lists it as uncharacterized. The transcript is spliced from 3 exons. The record is from RefSeq and is a predicted model, not a curated record. Lineage: Eukaryota; Metazoa; Chordata; Testudines; Geoemydidae.
CCAGAACUCCACCAGGGCGAGCGGCGGUAGCGGGGUCGACAGGGGGAGCCGUGGCCGUUGAUCCCACGCGGCGAGGACGGGAGCUGGCUGAGAGUCACUGCUGACUGCCGAGUUGGGGUGCAGGGCCCCGUCCGGGUCGACUCGGUGCAGGAAACGCACAGUGUGGAAGGGGAUGCUCAGAUCCAGGAAGAUCGAAGCUGUAAGACUCCUCAGGCCAGUGGAGCGGAGCAGGGCAAGAGUCUCGGCCCCAGGAAGAGGA